AGUGAAUGCUGGCGGCGUGCUUAACACAUGCAAGUCGAACGAGAACGGGUUAUAGCUUGCUAUAAUUGUCAGCUAAGUGGCGCACGGGUGAGUAAUGUAUAGGUAAUAUGCCUCUUACUAAGGGAUAACAAAUGGAAACGUUUGCUAAUACCUUAUACUCCUUAUUAACAGAAGUUAAUAAGGGAAAGAUUUAUUGGUAAGAGAUUAGCCUGUAUUGUAUCAGUUAGUUGGUGGGGUAAUGGCUUACCAAGACUAUGACACAUAACUGGUUUGAGAGGAUGAUCAGUCACACUGGAACUGAGACACGGUCCAGACCCCUACGGGAGGCAGCAGUGGGGAAUAUUGCACAAUGGACGAAAGUCUGAUGCAGCAACGCCGCGUGGAGGAUGACACAUUUCGGUGCGUAAACUCCUUUUAUAUGAGAAGAUAAUGACGGUAUUAUAUGAAUAAGCACCGGCUAACUCCGUGCCAGCAGCCGCCGUAA
This 484-nucleotide ribosomal RNA is filed under the name uncultured bacterium. Its description in RNAcentral is "partial 16S ribosomal RNA". It matches the Rfam family "Bacterial small subunit ribosomal RNA", at positions 29 to 523 of the family's 1533-position model. The record is from RNAcentral.